This 81-nucleotide transfer RNA is filed under the name Daphnia pulex (common water flea). It matches the Rfam family "tRNA". Rfam says of the family: Transfer RNA (tRNA) molecules are approximately 80 nucleotides in length. Their secondary structure includes four short double-helical elements and three loops (D, anti-codon, and T loops). The record is from Rfam by way of RNAcentral. Lineage: Eukaryota; Metazoa; Arthropoda; Branchiopoda; Diplostraca; Daphniidae.
GCCUCGAUAGCGCAGUGGGCAGCGCGCGAGUCUCAUAAUCUCGAGGUCGUGAGUUCGUGAGUUCGAACCUCACUCGGGGCA